GUCUAUGGCCAUACCACCCUGAACGAGCCCAAUGUCUGAUCUCGGAAGCUUAGCAGGGUUGGGCCUGGUUAGUACUUAGAUGGGAGACUACCUAGGAAUACCAGGUGCUGUAGGCA
This 116-nucleotide ribosomal RNA is filed under the name Pteropus alecto (black flying fox). The record is from RNAcentral. Lineage: Eukaryota; Metazoa; Chordata; Mammalia; Chiroptera; Pteropodidae.